UUUAGCUUGUAUGUGUAAUAUAUUGUUUUUUGCACAACCUUUACAUUGUUCUUACAAAACAAUACGUUCCACAGACAAGAAAAAAGAAUGGGAAAAUUCGUGUUAAUUUCAAUAUUUUUGUUGUUAUUUUGCCAUUGCAGUUUUUCAAUGCCACUGAAUAUCGAGGCAUAUAAUCCUGUGGACUACUUUUUUCGCCAAAGUAAGUAUAAUUGUUUAAUAUUUUUUUAACCAAACAGGCUAUAGUCGUUUGAUUUAAAAAAUAUAUAUACAUAAAAGAAAUAAAAUUGCAGUAUUUCUUUUGUCCACUUUUGUCCAUCUAAAAUUAUCAAAUCAUAUGACUUAUAAAAUACAAUAUACAAUCUACAUUGUGGAAGUUCGUCGAUAUGGUGCAUAUAAUAAUGAUGAAAAUAUUAGGCUCACUUAUACCAGGAUUAAAAUGUGUGUAUGUCAAAUGCGUGUUUCGUCAACAAAAGACUCAUCAGUAUCAAUCGAAUAAAAAAGGACCAAAAUUAAGUACUAGUACUGUACAUUGCUAACUUUCGGUCGAUGACCAUGCUGAGGAACAGCAAGUCACUGAUAGUCUAAUGUAUACUUUACUUUCAAAUUUAUAUUUAGGAAAUUCAAUAUACUCUUAGAUAUAUAGGUAUGCCAUGCAUUUUAUCAUUUUUACUUAAAUAUUUCUCCCGCUAAAGAGAUUUACUUAACGUCUCGCUCAGAAUAUAUCAUUUUAUGAAGGCGUAAAAAACUGAGACUGUUCAACUGUGCUGUCGGAUAAAUCCAGAAUUGCUGAGAUGCAUGAAAUAUUGUUAUUUAUAAAAUGAUAUUUUAAGAGUCCGCUGUGUACAAUUCUAAUUUAUAAAUUCAACAUUAGCUAUAUUCUGCAACUAUAUAUGACUUCAAAUCGUAUGACGGGUGACACUUUCGUAGCAGAUGAUACUACAACGAUGAACUCCUAUAAUUGUGUUUAAAUUGAGUUACGCUUUAUCUGACCCUGGUACCAUUUUUUUAAAAUGUUUUUCAUCUUAAAUUCUCUUCUCUUCACAGUUUAUGUAGAUCCUAAUAAGAAAAAAAGAGAAAACUUUCUUACAAAAAAUUGUCAUGACUUUUUUUGUUGUGGUAGAACUAUACAGUGGGAACUCUUAAAAUAUCAAACUGCAUUGUGUUUUGAUUAUCUUAUAAACUUAUUCUUGUCUUAAUUAUAUUAAACAAGUUAUUUUAUCUUGAUAUGGCAGUAACUAAUUGUAUAUUUGUCUAGUAAAAACUUUUAAAUAAUUUCAGGAGAUAGGUCCUAUAACACCAUGACCAAUUACAACAGCCUAGGCAGAGUUAGUGGUACAUCGAAGAAGAGAGUUUAUUAUAUUAACUUUAAAUGAUUUUCAUUGAUCUGAUAUCGUCAAUUUGACAUUGGAGUAAACUGUGUAAAGAUAUUUUUGUUUGAUCAAUGCGUAAAACAACUAAUUGAGAGUUUGUCAUUAUUUUAUUUUAUGAAAAUGUACAAUAACAUAUAUUAAAGAACAAUUGUGUAUUAUCUUAAUUCUAGGAGUAUCUAAAACACUCUAAAUGUGUAUUUACUAGGUUGUUGUUUUCUUAUACAAUGACUCUGAACAACACUGUCUCAUUUCGAAAUGUUAAACAAAAAACUUCGAAACUUGUAAGAUUUUAUUAACAGAUGCCCAUCUCACUAUUAAUCUAACUAAAUAGUUGUAAGUUAUUCUUUUACCAGAAACUACGAUGAUCUGAUAUGUAAAUCAA
This 1752-nucleotide long non-coding RNA is filed under the name Mytilus galloprovincialis (Mediterranean mussel). Lineage: Eukaryota; Metazoa; Mollusca; Bivalvia; Mytilida; Mytilidae. The record is from RNAcentral.